AGAAGCAGAGAAGCAGUCAGAGGCCAGUGCGCGUGCGCAAGUGAGACUGACUAGGGGCUCUGGGGCUAGCGAGUGGCUCCGGUGCCGAGGCCAGCAGCUCCACCUACGGCCAGCUCGCUCCGGACGCAGUUUUCUCUCUGAGCUUCCAAACCUAUCAGGGAUGGAAGAAAACCGUCAUGUUCUGUGCCUCUUGCCCUUGUUCUGCCGUGAGGUCCAGCCGUCAUGCGGCUCAGGCGUUAUUUACUUGGUAGCCUCCUGUGAUACCCCAAGGCUGAUUCUGUAUUCAAGACUGAGACUGUGGAUGCAAACUAGAAAACAUGCGUUUCAAGAACCUCUGCGCGCCCAACAGCUUCAGCCUGGGGAGUCCCCUGUCUAGGGUGCGUUCUCUGCAUCUGAUGUACAAGCACUCCCACUCUCUUUUGCUUGAUAAAGAAUAAAGGAAGACAAGUGGCAGCUGCCACAGGAGCAGACUGAAAACAAGCCUCGCCACACACCCCGGUCUUCACAAAGGCUGAUUCAGAGACGCGCGGCCGACAAACCGAGCAGCUGAGGACUUCGGCACAGUCACCUGCCCCAAUGUUAAUUGCACAUUUAAAGGACUGUCCAGGUGACCUGAGGGUUUAACCAGAGCGCAUUUCCAACUGGCCUUUCUUUAAGACGGACAAGAGUACAGAUGAAGAACGGGAGAUAGCUGCAAAGGUCACCGACCACAGAUCUAUAGCCCCACCUAAUUCCAAGGAGACUCCCAGGGACCGGGAAGACCGCCGGAGGAAAGACGCAGCCGUGUACACUGUGAUGAAACUGGAGGGUGGUUUCCCUUUUAACAGUAUUGAUUCUUUCUUUUGUUAGUCUAUGAAGUAACGGUUUCAUUGUGACUUUUCCAUACACAUGUGUGGUUGUACUUUACACACACUGUUCCCAUUACCCUCUCUCCUUUGGUCCCCACUGGCUCUCCUUUUCUCAGUCGUUUUUCCCUAUAUUUUUAUGCCAUGUGUGUAUACUGUUGGAUCUAGCUUCCAUAUAUGAGAAUAUAUAUUUCUUUCUCCCCCCUUAACCUCUCUUGUUCUUUCCUUUAGACCAUUCUAUUCACAUGUAAAUAUAUAAAUUUAUAUAUUAUACAAUAUAUACUACCUAUAUAAAAUCUACACUCGGAGGAUGGGGGAAAACAUGCAAUAUUUGCCUUUCUGAGCCUGUCUUACUUCAUCUAACAUGAUGAUUUUCAGUUCCAUCCACUUUUUUCAGAAAUAAACCAGUUUUAUUUCUCUUUA
RNAcentral lists this small RNA (1268 nucleotides) under Rattus norvegicus (Norway rat). RNAcentral's name for it is "uncharacterized LOC102549016". Lineage: Eukaryota; Metazoa; Chordata; Mammalia; Rodentia; Muridae. The record is from RNAcentral.